GUCCACGCCCUAAACUAUGUCAACUGGUUGUCGGGGAAGCAAUUCCUUGGUAACGAAGCUAACGCGUGAAGUUGACCGCCUGGGGAGUACGGCCGCAAGGUUAAAACUCAAAGGAAUUGACGGGGACCCGCACAAGCGGUGGAUUAUGUGGAUUAAUUCGAUGCAACGCGAAAAACCUUACCUACCCUUGACAUGUACGGAACCUCGCAGAGAUGUGAGGGUGCUCGAAAGAGAACCGUAACACAGGUGCUGCAUGGCUGUCGU
RNAcentral lists this ribosomal RNA (264 nucleotides) under uncultured bacterium. RNAcentral's name for it is "partial 16S ribosomal RNA". It matches the Rfam family "Bacterial small subunit ribosomal RNA", at positions 793 to 1055 of the family's 1533-position model. The record is from RNAcentral.